GGAUUAGAUACCCUGGUAGUCCACGCCCUAAACGAUGAGAACUAGAUGUUGGGAGGAUUUUACCUUUUAGUGUCGUAGCUAACGCGAUAAGUUCUCCGCCUGGGGAGUACGGCCGCAAGGUUAAAACUCAAAUGAAUUGACGGGGGCCCGCACAAGCGGUGGAGCAUGUGGUUUAAUUCGAUGCAACGCGAAGAACCUUACCUGGUUUUGACAUCCUUGGAACCUCGCAGAGAUGUGAGGGUGCCUUUGGGAACCAAGAGGCAGGUGCUGCAUGGCUGUCGUCAGCUCGUGCUG
Molecule: ribosomal RNA, 294 nt
Filed under: uncultured bacterium
Lineage: Bacteria
Description: partial 16S ribosomal RNA
Rfam family: Bacterial small subunit ribosomal RNA
Source: RNAcentral